AAAAGGCGGGAAAGCCGUGAGGGGAGGCGGUGGGGAGGGCGCCCCCUGGCGGGCGGAGAGAGGCGCGAAUUUGGCACCGCGAUGGGGAAGCGCAGGGACCGUUCCUGCCCAGGCGACAGGAGAUUCCAGGCUCCCAAGCGGAUCCUCCGGGAAACUUCGGGAGCUGCUGGCGCGGCCGUUCCCAUUCCCACUGAUCCCACCGGGAUGGACCCCCAGGGCAGAUCCCACAGCGGGAACGAGGCUGAUCCCAAGGAAAUCCAGGUGGGAGAGCAUGGAGCCGGACCCCCUCAGG
Empidonax traillii (willow flycatcher) is the source of this 292-nucleotide long non-coding RNA. RefSeq lists it as uncharacterized. NCBI's taxonomy places the organism in Eukaryota, Metazoa, Chordata, Aves, Passeriformes, Tyrannidae. The record is from RefSeq and is a predicted model, not a curated record. The transcript has 4 exons.